UAUCAAAACUUUCAACAACGGAUCUCUUGGUUCUCGCAACGAUGAAGAACGCAGCGAAUUGCGAUAAGUAUUGUGAAUUGCAGAUUUUCGUGAAUCAUCGAAUCUUUGAACGCACAUUGCGCCCUGUGGUAUUCCACAGGGCAUGCCU
Molecule: ribosomal RNA, 148 nt
Filed under: Candida sp. enrichment culture clone MM 4018
Lineage: Eukaryota; Fungi; Ascomycota; Saccharomycetes; Saccharomycetales
Description: 5.8S ribosomal RNA
Rfam family: 5.8S ribosomal RNA
About the family: 5.8S ribosomal RNA (5.8S rRNA) is a component of the large subunit of the eukaryotic ribosome. It is transcribed by RNA polymerase I as part of the 45S precursor that also contains 18S and 28S rRNA.
Source: RNAcentral